CCUACGGGAGGCAGCAGUGAGGAAUAUUGGUCAAUGGACGAAAGUCUGAACCAGCCAAGUAGCGUGAAGGAUGACUGCCCUAUGGGGUGUAAACUUCUGUUAUAUGGGAAUAAAAUGUUCCACGUGUGGGAUUUUGUAUGUACCAUAUGAAUAAGGAUCGGCUAACUCCGUGCCAGCAGCCGCGGUAAUACGGAGGAUCCGAGCGUUAUCCGGAUUUAUUGGGUUUAAAGGGAGCGUAGGUGGAUUUUUAAGUCAGUUGUGAAAGUUUGCGGCUCAACCGUAAAAUUGCAGUUGACACUGGCAGUCUUGAGUACAGUAGAGGUGGGCGGAAUUCGUGGUGUAGCGGUUACAUGCUUAGCUCUCCCG
Molecule: ribosomal RNA, 366 nt
Filed under: uncultured bacterium
Lineage: Bacteria
Description: partial 16S ribosomal RNA
Rfam family: Bacterial small subunit ribosomal RNA
Source: RNAcentral